RNAcentral lists this long non-coding RNA (265 nucleotides) under Lathyrus oleraceus (garden pea). RNAcentral describes it as "Pisum sativum (pea) long non-coding RNA (PSAT_LNC019601)". Lineage: Eukaryota; Viridiplantae; Streptophyta; Magnoliopsida; Fabales; Fabaceae. The record is from RNAcentral.
GAAGUGUGCAAUUAUCAAUCUCCUUGGCUAUAAAUAGAAGCUCCAUUGCUCAAAAAUGGGGACCCUAGCGUGCAAGCUUUGAAUCAGCAACCCUAAACCCUCACAUUCAAAUGAUAAUCUUGAAGAUUUUCUUUGAAAAUCGAGUUUGAAUCUCACUAUUUUUGAGAUUGAAACUCCAAUAGUCCUUCCUUCUCUUUGAUCCAUUUCCACUCCAUCAAGCAUCUGAAGCAAGGUCAAGCAUAAUUGAGAGCAAGAUCGUGCCAAU